UCUUUUAACUGAACGAAUACAAUUAUAUAACUGGAAGCUGGAGGACAAUAAAAUUUAAUAAUUUACUGCACAAAGGGAAUGCUAUGACAUUAUAUAUAUAUAUAUAUAUAUAUAUAUGUAUGUAUGUAUAUGUAUACGUAUAUAUAAACAUAUAAAUAUACACGCAAUUCAAAAAUCCAUUGACACUUAAGCAGCCAAACACUAAGAAUAUUAUAAUAUACUGACAAAAUCUAUUGCAGCUGUGAAGGUUGAGAGUACGAAAACAAUAAUCUGG
Molecule: long non-coding RNA, 274 nt
Filed under: Citrus maxima (pomelo)
Lineage: Eukaryota; Viridiplantae; Streptophyta; Magnoliopsida; Sapindales; Rutaceae
Description: long non-coding RNA (CMAX_LNC003680)
Source: RNAcentral